Molecule: unclassified non-coding RNA, 219 nt
Filed under: uncultured bacterium
Lineage: Bacteria
Description: contains 16S-23S intergenic spacer region
Source: RNAcentral
AGAACAAACGGAGCUCCGUCAAAAUUAGAGACAAUAAAGUUGUUGUACGAUCCUUCCAGGUUUUCGCGAAGCCUGAGGCCAAAGUUAUUUUUUUCGGGGCUACUGCCUUCUCCGGCUCCGUAAACGGUCACGUUAUAUAGGUUUGGAGAGGUAGGUCCGUUACCUCCGUCACAAUCAGAGAGGUCAUCGCAACCAUCAUUUUCGAAACCGUUGUCGGCA